AUGAAAAACUACCCCAAUAAGACUCCACGCACAUUUCGGUCUCUUCAAGGUCGUUGGGAGAACAUCAAGCCUAUGUGCAGCCGUUGGGCAGCUUGCUUGGAGCAAGUACGCAAGGCACCUCCAAGUGGCACCGUGGAGUCCGACUAUGACAAGAUUGCUCAACAUAGAUACAAGGACAUGGAAGCUUUGGAAGGCAGAUUCUUCAAAUUAGAGCAUUGUUGGGAGUUGCUCCAAAAGUGCGACAAGUGGAAGUUGAUCGACAAAGAGUCCCCACCAAAGAGAGGCUCACUUACAAACAUGGACGAAGAUGAGGAUGAUGAUGGCCCAAGAAAUUUGAACAAGCGCGAUGGCGACAAGAAGACUAGAGAGAAGAUAAAAAGAGAGCAAGAAGCAUCGAGCUUGAGGGAGAAGAUUGAUGCCAUGGUGCAAUCAAACGAGUUGAUGUUGUUGAAGUCGUUGGAGAUCAAGAAAGAGUUGGCCGAAAAGAAGGCAAAAAAGAAGCAAGAAAAAUGGCAAACGCUCAAGGAAGAGGGAUUGCGCAGAGCUGCCAUCGAGGAGAGAAAAGCACGCGCCUCUGAAAACAAAUCGCUGUCAUUGUUGCUCGCCGAAGAGAACAAGAUCAUGUCAAUGAACCGCAAUGACAUGGACGACGUCACCAAAACAUGGCAUGAUAUGGCAAGGAGAGAGAUCUUGAAGAGGAGAAUGGUCGCCUCGACCGGUCCGUCUGCCAGUUCCGGUGAUGUUUUCUCUGCUCCAUAUGGUGGCAAUGUGGAUGAUUUCGGUGCGGGAGUUGGAACAAGCGACGGAGGUGGCUACGGUGGCGCCGAUGAACUUCAAGAUGGACUCCAUGGCGCGGAGCGAAGAUCGACCCCCAAAAUGAUGCCGGACAUGGGCGCAUACCUUUGCAUGCCCUCUUUUGCGUAA
Molecule: ribosomal RNA, 924 nt
Filed under: Triticum aestivum (bread wheat)
Lineage: Eukaryota; Viridiplantae; Streptophyta; Magnoliopsida; Poales; Poaceae
Description: partial small subunit ribosomal RNA
Source: RNAcentral